Long non-coding RNA from Drosophila persimilis, 449 nucleotides. RefSeq lists it as uncharacterized. NCBI's taxonomy places the organism in Eukaryota, Metazoa, Arthropoda, Insecta, Diptera, Drosophilidae. The transcript has 2 exons. The record is from RefSeq and is a predicted model, not a curated record.
CCUGCCUGCAAUGAAUUUCCUGAAAAUUAUCUUCGUUAUUAUGUUGGUCGUAUCCGGUGCAAAUGCUGCGACUUAUUACUUCACGAGGACAAAGCUGCUUCCAAAUGGUACGAAUAGUAGAACUAUAUGUGAUAUUAGGGAACUUCAUGAAACAGGUGCUCUUGAUUAUGUAAACAUUGGAUGGCAAAUGCAAUCAAGCCGAGUGUGUGGAUUACACUCCUGUUUUUUUUUUAAUAAGCACCAUCCAGCAGCUUCUGAUUUUUUGUACUGCCAACACCCAGCUCUUUUUGCAGAGUGUGAGACUUAUGGAGUAGACACAACAGUAGAUUGGCCCGAAUGCUGUUGGAAGUGUGUCGAUUUUAAAAAAUGUUAGCUCUGAAGUUUCGAUUAUCAGUUCAUGUUACAAUUAUGUAUGCAAACAUGCGAAAUAAAUAUUUUAUUACUCUGAA